CUCUGGAAGGCUAACCGAUAAGAACCCUCAACCUAUGAUAUGAAGAUGAGAAGUGCACAUGAUGCCACUUACGAGAUAAGUAGUGCACAUGCUACCUCUCAUGUGAAGACGAGAAGUACACACGCUAUCUACGGAUACAUGCUGCCUCUCCUGUGAAGACGAAAAAUGCAUACACUGCCUAUGGGUACAUGCUGCCUCUCGCAUGA
RNAcentral lists this long non-coding RNA (206 nucleotides) under Elaeis guineensis (African oil palm). Its description in RNAcentral is "long non-coding RNA (EGUI_LNC004288)". Lineage: Eukaryota; Viridiplantae; Streptophyta; Magnoliopsida; Arecales; Arecaceae. The record is from RNAcentral.